Long non-coding RNA from Xyrauchen texanus (razorback sucker), 491 nucleotides. RefSeq lists it as uncharacterized. NCBI's taxonomy places the organism in Eukaryota, Metazoa, Chordata, Actinopteri, Cypriniformes, Catostomidae. The record is from RefSeq and is a predicted model, not a curated record. The transcript is spliced from 3 exons.
AGGGGAUCUGUUACUCCCCCCUAGACACCCAGGAAGAUUUGGCGUUGCUUGACAACAGUUUGAGGCAGGAUAAAGAUCUCCAGCAACGAUUUCUUCGGUUUUUGGCAAUCAAAUGUGGGAGGGACCUAAAGACAACCGUGUGGGGAAUGCUUCAGAGUAUCUUCUCUAAUCACCUUUCCAUCAAUACAACCUGGACUGGUGUAGGGGAUAAAGCAUGUUUUAGAGACAUGUUCCUGAAGACCAUUGUUCAAAGAGCCAUCCGGAAGAACCCGGCAACACAGGAUGCCACUGAUGAGGCGAUCCAGGUUAACGUUACCUGAAAGGAGCAUCUGAACAUGAAGGUGGAAAAAGGCGCCGCACAGCUGAGAGGGACCCACAGCUGACCCCUUAAACCUAGGCUGACUACUGACACCCCAGCAUCACUGACAACUGGAACCCUUUCUUUAUCCUGCAGUCAGUAACAUCAAGACCCCUAAAAAAGCCUGCUAAAA